AGCCCGCGUUGAAGGUCUCCAGGUCGAUGAAGGACGGCUUCUCCUUGCGGAACGUGAGCACCAGCUGCUCCACGAACACGGUCACGAAGAAGCCCAGCAGCAGCAGGGUCUCGGCCAGCGGGUAGUCAGUGCUCAGGGCCCAGGAAUAUCCCAUCUGCACAAGAGGUCAGGGCCCAGGCGGACUGGGGACGGCAGUGCUCGCCUGGCAUCUCCGCACUCUGGGAGGCUGAGGCAGGAGGAUCACAGCGUGCGCCCAACCUGCGCGAUCUGAGUGACUUAAGUUCCAGUGUACAGCCUGGCUGGCCUUGAACUUUCGAUUUUCCUCUCCCAAGACUCACUGAAACUUGCAGAGCCAAAUAAGGCAGGUGUACCCAGGCCCAUGUACCCUCCGCGGCCUCAUCCAGGUCCAGCAGCGAUCUGAACCCACGCUGGGUCUGGAAGCCAGUCCAUCUCCACCUUCAAGCCGCGGGGUAACCAACCACAGCCAGGGGACGUCCUGACUGCAGCUUCGUGUGACCCAAAACAGAGGACCUCGCCUGGCCGAACCCAGAUGCAGACCCACAGAAGCCACAAGAUAAUAAAUGAUGCCCAGGUGCUGUGGCUUGUUAUGCAGCAGUAGCUGACAGAUGCAAGAGCCCCCUGGCCGUAAGGUGCCCACCGGAGAGGCCUUACCUUCUCCCGCACGGCGGGCAGCAGCGCAUUGAAGCAGGUGGCCAGAAAGACCCCGCCCCCAAAGGUGUUGCAGAGGGAAAGGACCUUUUUGGAGUGAUGAGCUUUCUCAAAGUCCGUCUCGAUGACCUUCACGGGCAGCAGGGAGCCCAGCAGCAUGAAGAAGAACACACCCACCAUGCAGAGGAUCUUAACCACCAACAGCUUCACCAUGGCGGCAGCAGGUUGGAAGGCACCGGUCACCGCGGGGCCACACCACGCAUGGACACACAGGUGGGCGCCACAAUGCACUACCGGGGCUGAUCCUGCAUCGGGAAGCUCAUGGCUCCGCCCAGCAGCUGUGAACACCAGAGGCAACCAUGUUAGCUGGGGAUCUUCGGGCCAGCCCUAGUUACCCAGCGUCCACCGAGGACUUCUGUCCACCCCACAGCUUGCGCCUAUCACUGCCCCCCUUGGAAAACACCAGGGGCUGCAGUGUCCAGUACAGCGGCUACUGAACACAUGUCUCCAGAUCAACUGCAAUGGAACAGUUUGAAAUUCUUCUUUGGGGGCUGGAGGUACAGCUCAGCGGCACAAGUGCCUGCCUGGCAAGUGCAAGGUUGUGCGUUUGAUCCCCAGUACCAAAAAAAGAAAAGAAAAGAGAAAGAAGGAAAAAUUUUGCUUGGUUGCACUGCAAGUGCUUAGUAAUCGUGGGCACCUGGUGACUUCAACCUUAAGCUUCAGAGAGGAAGAGCUUCCUUUGUGAUGAAAUUAAUGUGAUAAUACAGAAUACAAACCCUUUAAUAUCAAGGCUGAGGUUCUCUGUGACCAGUCUUCCCCACCUCAGCCCACAUCAGUGUCCCUCAAACAUGUCAAACUCCUUCCUGCUACAGGGCCUUUGCACAGGUUGUUCUUGCUGCCUGCCACACCUCUCUACCCUGAACUCCCAAGGAUGUCCCUCUCAUCUGGGAUCUACCCCUUCUCCAAACUGUAUAUCCUGUAGCCACCAUGGGCCUGUGCAAAACAUGUCCGGUGGCCACCAGAUGAACAGAGGGACCAGCUUGAUGUGUUAACCUCUUUUUUUUUUUGGUACCAGGGAUCAAACUCACGGCCUGGUAAUUGCCAAGCAAGCACUUGUGCCCCUGAGCUACAUCCCUGGCUCCUGCAUGAGCCUCUUUAUGAGACUUGAUGGACCAAAGUGGCGAUUUUACCCUGGCCUGCAAAAUGUGGAGUUACCAGAAGAGACCUCAGCUCCUCCAUCUUUGAGUCCCCCUCUUUCUCUCUGCCCUCUACGUCAUUUAUGUCUACAGGCAUCUGCCUAGAUGUUGGGGGGGGGGUCAUAGGGCCCUCCCUGUCCCCUUAAACUGGCAGAACCCGCCUCUAUUUUGUGCGGUGGAGGGAACCGUGUUUUUAAAUGCGUUUAAAUGCUCCUUCCCGCUUGCUGUGCGCCCCACAGAACCGCAAAGGCACACAGCAGGCGCCUAAUAAAUACCCGUCGGGGUCUGGCCGACCCAGGCCGCGGAGUGGGCGUGGGGGCGGCCUGCACGCUCUCAAACUGGAACCCGGAUCGAGCGGCCCGCGGAGGAGACUGGGCCACCAGUUCAUUCAGCACUUAGUGAGCGCCUACUGUGUGCCCGCGCAGCCGCACCGCGCAGCCCGGUCUCGGCUAACGGGCGGAAUCGGCCAGGCCUCCCGGCCCUGUCCUAGCGCCCCAGACCCACCUUCGCCCCACAGGUACCUGCGCAGCCUCUCUCGACCGCCAAGCGGCUCCGGCCGCCGCCAACCGCCGCGCGGUUCCCACCCGGCCGCCGCGGUCCAGGAGAGCUCCCGCCUCGGCGCGCCGAUGCCCACGUCCCGCCCACCACAACGACUAUUGGUGUUGCGGAGCGCCACUGGUUCAAAGUCACACGUUAUUGGCUGACGCGGUUGCCACUCAUCCUGCCGCUCCACUUCUCCCACCUGCUCCUGAGAGUAGUUUCCUCUUGGCGAGAGGGCGCAGCCACUAAGAGGUUCCGGAUGGGAAUGUGGCAACAUUGAGCAUUGGUUCCGAAAGGGUUUGGCUUCCAGAGCUGUCCAGGUCCUCUGGUGCUGAAUUCUGCUCGGUUGGAGGCUUGGCAGGAAGUGAUUCCUACCGGGGACCAUCUCUGUGGAAGCAUCCCUGCUGCGCGUUCCCUUCUUCCCGCUUUAAAAGCACAGCCAAGCUGGGCGCGGUGGUGCACGCUUAGAACUCCUGCAUUCCGUGGGGCUAAGGCAAGAGGAUUCUAAAUUCAAGCCCAGCCUGGGCAAUUUACUCAUUUAGCAAGACUUUCUUUAAAAAAAAAAAAAAAAAAAAGAAUUUUAACACAGUUUGAAAGCCCGGAGAUUCAAUCCCCAGUACUGGGGGAAGUGGGGGCGAAGGGAGGGGGGUGAGAAACAACGAAACAAGAAAUAGAUAUAACUAAGUCGGGCGUGGUGGUGCACACCUGUCAUCCCAGCAGUCGGGAGGCUGAGGCAGAAGGAUCGUUGCGAGUUCAAGACCUGUCUGGGCUACAAAGUGAGCUCAAGGCCAGCCUGGACUGCACAGCAAGACCCUCUCUCAAAAGGACAAUUAAAAAAAAAUUGAUAUAACUAGCUGCAAUAGGUGACACUGGAUUAAAUCCUGAUUUAAAAAUUGUGUUUUACAAAAAUAAAAAAAUUCUGCUUUA
This is a long non-coding RNA of Cavia porcellus (domestic guinea pig), 3332 nucleotides long. RefSeq lists it as uncharacterized. Lineage: Eukaryota; Metazoa; Chordata; Mammalia; Rodentia; Caviidae. The record is from RefSeq and is a predicted model, not a curated record. The transcript has 4 exons.